CAGCUGUUAGCCUUGUCUUCGCCUAGGAGGGCAGCCCGAGCCAUGUCACUCCUGCUCUCAGCGCGGCGGGGACCGUCACCCGAGGGAGACAGCGGUCGUGGACAUCAGCACCUCGAGCGAGCCUCAGCCGCCUUGAACAGCCCCAGCCGGUGCCGCUCAGCUCCCAUCUGAGAUCCCCCCUCCUUACGUUCGUCCUCUGCCGCUCUGAUCUCACAUCUUGUUUCUAAUCGAAGCUCAGAGUGAAACACAUGUAAGGAAGAGAAUUUGUGUGCGUGAUGUGUGUGAAGCUGGAUCAUAAGGGAGGUGCAUCCAUGUAGGAAGAACAGAGUACAUAUGCUGUUCAGUACUACCUGCAUUUUCAGGCAUCCCCUGGGGGUCCUGGAAACACGCCCUGUGGACAAGGUGGGGACCGCUGUAGUCUACGACUAAGAAGAUUUUAUUCAUUCAGUGAAUAUUUACUAAUUGUCCAAUCAUCCUGGUAAGCACUGAGGAAAAUCGAUCAAUAAAACAAGAUUGCUACCCCCGAGUUUAUAGUCUAGUGGGAGAGGCAUGAAAACACGAAGUACAAUAAAAUGUUAGUGGCUUGUCGAUGGACAUCAUGUAGGUACAGUGACCACCAAGCACGAACACUAUCCAUGGAGGAUGGGGUAUCGUGAGAGGUUCCCUAAGGAAGGGGGUCCUUGAGUGGUAUUGUUAGGGCUGCCUGGUGGCCUCUGGACUUGAAGUCUCUGACACCUGGCACCCCACGCUUUGUGUGGUCACUCACAGAUAACCAUUGUGGGUAAGCGAGCAAAUUCUGCAGGGGUUCCCUGGGCUAAAAUUAAACCUUGGUUUCAUUUACCUGCACUUGGCAUCAAGAGAAUGCAGCCUGGGAGUGUGCUGUCCUUAGAACUGUUGACACAUAAAAUACGACGGACAAUUGAGUGUACGAGAUGCCCGCUGAAUAGACUCCGCUGGUGCACCUCCCCUCUCCGUUCUCUGACCACACACCAAUGUAAGCAAAGCCCCCAGGGAAACGAAUGGCAUUUCAAAAAUAAGGACAAUCUUCCCAGAGAGCUGUUCACUCCCCUCACAGCCCUCCUCCCAAGAGGAAGGGAAGCUGGCCUGGCUCCAGCCUACACUGGGAGCCGGGCAGCAGGGGCUUGGGCAUAAAACCUGGGCCCUCAGCAACCUCUGCUGUUAGCUAGCUGCGUGAGUGAGUCAGGCCUCGAGCCUGUGACACUGGCCUGGAAAUGCAAAAUUCUGGUGCUCCAAGGAGGAGGGAUGGCCACCUCCAGGAUUUACUUUGACUGUUCUGCAUAUGAAGCAAUGUGGGAGCUACUGUGUCGCUUUAAACCCUGCCACGAUGACCUAAGGGCUGUGUGAGCUCAGGCCAGUGAAUUAGACUCUCUGAGCACAGUCCUCCCGCUGGAUUGGUACAUAAUAGCGUCCCUCCUACGGAACUGCAGUGCUGCGGCGCAGACAGACACACACACCCUAACCAAGGUACUCACAGGGGUUUACAGGCCAAAGUGACCUCAAAGGCGCACCCUCCAAAAAGUUAGGCGUUAUUUAAGAUCACAACCUUUAGAGUCCUAUGGUGAAGCAGAAGAUUAACAAAAUGGAGCAAGAUCAAAAAUGAUUAUUCAGAAACCCACCAGUUGAGUUGAGAGUUGAUUAAAGAGACAGUUUACCUCAGGGGAAGUAUGUGACCAUGGGCAUUAAAGCUCUGAAGCAAGGGGGGGAAGGCAGGGGACCCUUCAGAGAACCCCAUGUUUCAGAUCCCAGAACCUGAAGCAGCGGACAGGCCACACCUCUGAUGGUGAGUGACGGACUGGUUUUGAAGGGGACCUCACCUCGACAAGAAGGGACAUUGUGCACCUUCCCAAGGCCCUACACAUCCAGAGCCCUCACUGGCUCUGCUCUCAUAGACCUAUUUGUAGGAAAGAGCCAAAGGUUGGUCAAGGAGGAGAGGAAGAUAGGUCUGAUUCUCCAGUUCCCAAAAUGUGGCCUUUCCCAGGUGCCACCGUUCCCCACAGGCCAUUUAUACAAAUGGCUCCCCUGAAGUGGGGACCUUACUAAUAAGAAGUGGCUACUUCACAUUCCCGAAAAUUCCUCCAAAUAUUCCGAAUACGUCUGACAGCAUUCCCUGAUGAGAGCCAAUCUUCAGAAGUUCUUUAAGUGCAGGUAUAAACAUCAGAGCAUUUCAUGUGCAAAUUUCAAAUCAUCACCAAGACCACUAUGACUUCUGGUCAAAUAACUCCCUCCCAGGACAGUACCGAAGGCACCAAGGUACAGCAGUAGGCACUAGGGAGAGACGGGCCGUCCAACAGAAGGCUGAAGAAAUACACGUUAGAAUAAAAAUGCAAUCACCUUGCUUCAAAAUAUCUGGAUGUACUUUUAAGAACCUCAUCUCAUUUUAGACUUUAAUACAUUUUUUUAUUUUUAAAGAUUCAUUUAUCCAUUUUGGGGGAAGGGGCAGAGGGAGAAAGAAUUUCAAGCAGACUCCCUGCUGAGCACAGAGCCUGACACCAACCCCGACAUUGGGGCUCCAUCUCAGGACCCUGAGAUCCCAACCUGUGAUGAAACCAAGAGUGGGACACUUAACUGACUGUGCCACCAGGUGCCUGUCAUACUGCUUUUAGGUAGGGUUAGUACAUCAGUUUUUUAGAUGAUGGACUCAGUGACUCAAUGAAGGCAAGUGACCUGUCCAAACAGGAGAGAAGCUGUGGUUAGAAUGGAGGUCUCUUUCUCCUAUGUCAAUUGACUUAACUGCACAAGCUCUUUUUUUUUUUUUUUUUUUUAAAGAUUUUAUUUAUUUGAGAGAGAGAGAGAAAGAGAGAGAGAGAGAACCCAAGCAAGAGGGGGAGAGGCUGAGGGAAAGGGAGGGAGAAAAUCCUGACUUAAGACUCCUCCUCAAGCGCAGAACCUGAAGAGGGGCUCGAUGGCAGGACUCUGAGAUCAUGACCUGAGCUGAAACCAAGAGUUGGCCACUUACCCAACUGAACCACCCAGGUGCUAAUGCAGUGGGUCAGAAAGUGUGACUCAUGGACUGAAGUACUUAGGCAGCAAAGUUCCUAAGUGCCAGAGACACCUACACAACAAAGUUCCUAAGUGCCAGAGACAUCUACACUAACAAAGAGGCUCUCACGGGAUGGAAAUGAUACCACUGGCCUUCCAGGGUAGCUUUGCUGGACUCCGGGGGCAAGUAAAGAAGUCGACUCCUUUAGUCCUGCGGGCUCCAUGGAGAAGGGGAAUUUGUUUCAGGAGCCAGAUGGCCAGGGAGAGGCAGGCCUUCUGGCCCCAGGAAAACACAGAAUAAGGGACCUGACUGCCCUCCAGACUCCAUCGUGGCCUUGGUCUCCACUCCCUUCUGUACAUCUGCUGGGCUCCCUUCUCUGCAGACCAACAUUCUUUGCUCUCUGCUUCUCAGGCAAACAGACAACGUGGAAGGUGCUUCUAUCAAAGGAAUGACUAAAUCCCUGUCAACCCCAAUUGUAAAUUUUUGUUGUGGUCAAGCAAUCUGUCAGGUCCAGUGAGCUGAGACUGGGGGUCAGGGGUAGGGUGGUGUUAGAGAGGAAGCCCUGUUGCACGACACAGCUGCCAGGGCCGUGGCUCUGGACUGGGAGAGAGGGGAGGGUCACAGACAUUUUUAUUUAUUUAUAUUAUUUUUAAAGUUACUGUUAAUAUUAUUAUUUAG
Long non-coding RNA from Canis lupus familiaris (dog), 3679 nucleotides. RefSeq lists it as uncharacterized. The transcript is spliced from 3 exons. The record is from RefSeq and is a predicted model, not a curated record. NCBI's taxonomy places the organism in Eukaryota, Metazoa, Chordata, Mammalia, Carnivora, Canidae.